Molecule: non-coding RNA, 1188 nt
Organism: Chlorocebus sabaeus (green monkey)
Lineage: Eukaryota; Metazoa; Chordata; Mammalia; Primates; Cercopithecidae
Source: RefSeq, a predicted model, not a curated record
AGACUGGUCUUGAAUUCCUGACCUCAGGUAGUCCACCCGCCUCAGUCUCCCAAAGUGCUGGGAUUACAGGCGUGAGCCACUGUGCCCGGCGGAGGUAAAGGUAAAACAUGUUUUCUUGUUCAUGUUUGUUAUUGUAACUUUGUUACAUUUAAUGAACAAAUUAGAUAAAAAGCACUAUGCUCUUAUGGUGUUUAAUCUGUGAGAAAUGAUUGUGGGGGUGGGACUAGUUAUGACCAUUCACAGUUGGUGCACUUCAGUUAGUCUCACAGAGGAAAUGUGGACAGUGAAUUCACUUGGCAAGUCAGUCAUGCAAAGACGACUUAGAAAUCUUAAUGUUUGUAAGCAGACAAAAAAUGUGUCUGGAAGGAUUUUCACCCAGUUAAAUGGUAUUUGCUCCUUGGGUGUAGAGGGAGGGAAGGGAUGGGGCAGAGGGGAGUGUCAGAGUGAACAUUCACUUUAACUUCAUGCACACGUGGAAAUGUUUGAAAUGUUCACAGUAAAUUUUAUAAUUUCAGAAAAACCACUUAAGGUUGAAAAGAGAAAUUUAAGAAAUUGCUGAUGGAAUAAAAACAUAACAGAACUAGAACACUGAAGGAAAUGAAAGCAGGAAGGAAAGCACCAGAAGUGAUUUGGAAGAGAAAGUCUAAAAUGAAUGUGAACAACAGAGUGAUCAGAAGAGUAUAGAGAAUUAAUAGUUUCUUUAAACAAGCCAUCUCACAAUGGAAGCCUGUUUAUCUUGAAAUUGCUGUGAUUACUAUUCACUCUGCCUUUGAAAGAACUGCAGAAAUUCAUAGGGCAAUGUUAAGUGUUUGUGUCUCCAAAAAAGAUGUUGGAGUCGUUACCCUCAGAACCUCAGGUCAAGAACCAAGGAAAGAAGCAGGGCCCAUGUCCAACUCUGGCAAAGACAGGAAACUCCUGGAAAAAGGGGAAGAGCAAAGUCCAACAGAGGUCGAUGGUGUGGUUUUAAGAGAUCUUACCCACUGAGGCCACAAGCGAAAAGUUCUCCAGCAUCACAUCAUGAUACAGGCACCUCUGAGCUUCAUCAAGGAGGCCCCACUCCUCCUGGGAGAAGUACACAGCAAUAUCCUCAAAGGUCACAUGGCCCUGCAUGAUGGGGGCAGGUGAGAUCAUGAGCAGACUCAAUCCCCAGGAAUCCCAGUAAAUCUCCCUCCUCCCUAGUUCUCCAAC